AGGUAUUAUUGAUGAGAUUAAUGGGAUUAUUGAUGGGAUUAUUGAUAAUUUUGAUGGGAUUAUUGAUACAAUUGAUGAGUUUGAUGUAAUUAUUGAUCGCUUGAAGGCGGUACUGAUGGGAUUAAUGGGAUCAUUAAUAGCUGUGAUGGAAUUAUUGAUAGAAUUGAUGAGUUUAAUGGGAUUAUUGAUCACUUGAAGGCAUUAUUGAUGGGAUUAAUGGGAUUAUUGAUAGGUUUGAUGGGAUUAUUGAUACAGUUGAUGGGUUUGAUGGGAUUAUGGAUUGCUUGCAGGCAUUAUUGAUGGGAUUAAUGAGAUUAUUGAUAGCUUUGAUGGGAUUAUUGAUAGAAUUGAUGGGUUUG
Molecule: long non-coding RNA, 359 nt
Organism: Gallus gallus (chicken)
Lineage: Eukaryota; Metazoa; Chordata; Aves; Galliformes; Phasianidae
Source: Ensembl